RNAcentral lists this ribosomal RNA (561 nucleotides) under Phomopsis sp. 14AM/S. RNAcentral describes it as "eukaryotic LSU rRNA". The stretch from base 206 to 359 matches the Rfam family "5.8S ribosomal RNA". The record is from RNAcentral. Lineage: Eukaryota; Fungi; Ascomycota; Sordariomycetes; Diaporthales; Diaporthaceae.
UUCCGUAGGUGAACCUGCGGAGGGAUCAUUGCUGGAACGCGCCCCAGGCGCACCCAGAAACCCUUUGUGAACUUAUACCUUUUGUUGCCUCGGCGCAUGCUGGUCUCUAGUAGGCCCCUCACCCCGGUGAGGAGACGGCACGCCGGCGGCCAAGUUAACUCUUGUUUUUACACUGAAACUCUGAGAAAAAACACAAAUGAAUCAAAACUUUCAACAACGGAUCUCUUGGUUCUGGCAUCGAUGAAGAACGCAGCGAAAUGCGAUAAGUAAUGUGAAUUGCAGAAUUCAGUGAAUCAUCGAAUCUUUGAACGCACAUUGCGCCCUCUGGUAUUCCGGAGGGCAUGCCUGUUCGAGCGUCAUUUCAACCCUCAAGCAUUGCUUGGUGUUGGGGCACUGCUUUUAACGAAGCAGGCCCUGAAAUCUAGUGGCGAGCUCGCCAGGACCCCGAGCGCAGUAGUUAAACCCUCGCUCUGGAAGGCCCUGGCGGUGCCCUGCCGUUAAACCCCCAACUUCUGAAAAUUUGACCUCGGAUCAGGUAGGAAUACCCGCUGAACUUAAGCA